GUACCCUCAAGCUCUGCUUGGUGUUGGGUGUUUGUCCCGCCAUUUUUGCGUGUGGACUCGCCUUAAAGCGAUUGGCAGCCGGCAUAUUGGCCUUGGAGCGCAGCACAUUUUGCGCUUCUAGUCAAUGAUUGUUGGUAUCCAGCAAGUACAAAUUCUAAC
RNAcentral lists this unclassified non-coding RNA (159 nucleotides) under uncultured Pyrenochaetopsis. Its description in RNAcentral is "sequence contains ITS2". The record is from RNAcentral. Lineage: Eukaryota; Fungi; Ascomycota; Dothideomycetes; Pleosporales; Cucurbitariaceae.